RNAcentral lists this ribosomal RNA (253 nucleotides) under Alphaproteobacteria bacterium. RNAcentral describes it as "partial 16S ribosomal RNA". It matches the Rfam family "Bacterial small subunit ribosomal RNA", at positions 524 to 776 of the family's 1533-position model. RNAcentral also lists the same sequence under 1 other name. Lineage: Bacteria; Pseudomonadati; Pseudomonadota; Alphaproteobacteria. The record is from RNAcentral.
UACGAAGGGUGCUAGCGUUGUUCGGAAUCACUGGGCGUAAAGCGCGCGUAGGCGGCUUUUCAAGUCAGGGGUGAAAUCCCACGGCUCAACCGUGGAAUUGCCUCUGAAACUGGGAAGCUAGAGUAUUGGAGGGGAUAGCGGAAUUCCUAAUGUAGAGGUGAAAUUCGUAGAUAUUAGGAGGAACACCGGUGGCGAAGGCGGCUAUCUGGACAAUUACUGACGCUGAAGUGCGAAAGCGUGGGGAUCAAACAGG